CAGCAGCGCCACACUUUCCACUAUGGCAAUAUGACAAAGGAUUAUGCCACUUAAAGUGUCAGCACUUACUCUCCGGUGUUGGGUAACUGCUCUUAAUUUUUCAUGCCACGCUCAACGCUAUAAAUCCGCCUGCAGAGGAUGACAGUUAAAGCUGUGCCAGCUAAUAUCUAUUAGGAGAAGGAAAAAGGAAGCACGAAAUGCAUGCAGAUAACCCCGAAAUGGCAUCCAAUGUACUCUGCGGCACAAAGUCAGCUGACCAACUGCUAUCACCUUCAGUGGAUUCUUCAAAUGCCUUCUUUUCCCAUCAUAAUUCACAUCUUAAUGCAGGUUGUUGGGCGUAUCUCCUUUAAAGAUAAAACAUACAUGUUGCUUAACUGCGAACAUUACCUCAUUACUUGGUAUAUAUGUAGUAAAAACGGAGGUAUUCCGCAUUACAGUGGCAAGAUCUCAAAUUGUGACAACUUCAGUUAAUGUAUCUUUGGAAGCAUAUGAGAAGAUAAACUGGCACCUCUAGUUAUUAAGAUAUAAAGAAUAAGUAGUGGUAACAAAACAAGAGAAAAUCUGUGGUGCAUAUACUUAUAAUACUACGUGGUGAAACAUUUCGUACCAAUCCGGUGGCCAACAUACGAAUUGAAAAUACAACUGUCAUAUUGCGGUGAGUUCAUCCCAAUGCCAUAACAUAUUAUGUAAACAGAAAUGAGUUGAAAACCUGUACCACCGUUUGAAAUUAUAAAUUUUAAAAGGAACUCAAAUAGGUAGAUAUAAGGAGGUAUUAUUUGAACAAUAUGAAGGGCUUUUUUUUAAACAAUAUGGCAACGAAGAUUCACAGAAAAUGAGUUGUAAAGCCAAAACUUUCAAUAUUGGAUGAAUCAAAAGGAAUAUGCUUAGAGUAGUACUAAAAGAUAUUAAGUUAAGAGUGCUUGCAUGUUUAUAAUACAAUUUUAAUUUGUGAU
Bactrocera neohumeralis is the source of this 953-nucleotide long non-coding RNA. RefSeq lists it as uncharacterized. The record is from RefSeq and is a predicted model, not a curated record. Lineage: Eukaryota; Metazoa; Arthropoda; Insecta; Diptera; Tephritidae. The transcript is spliced from 3 exons.